RNAcentral lists this long non-coding RNA (2388 nucleotides) under Sus scrofa (pig). RNAcentral's name for it is "lncRNA (ENSSSCG00070006530.1)". The record is from RNAcentral. Lineage: Eukaryota; Metazoa; Chordata; Mammalia; Artiodactyla; Suidae.
CUCUGCGGCGGAAGCUGCGCUGCGGGGAGAGCGGGGUCGCUGCAAGGUCGGCGGCUGGGCCUCCGGUCCCGCCGCUGCUCUCGGGGGAGGCCUGGUGCCUGCUGUCUCCCGAAGCCGCUCCUGUGCCCCAGGACACUCAGGGUUCCUCCAGGUUGUCCUUCAGCCCUGGCAAGAGGGCCGCAGGCCCCGCAGGAAGCACAGGACAAGCUCUGGCGCGCACACACUGCACUCACCAGAAACUUCACAUGCAAGCUUAAUACUCUAACACCGGGAACAGAAUGAUGCGGUCCCAGGACCGGCGCGUGCCCACUGCCAUGCUCCUGCUGGAUUUCAUCACUCCUUGAAGGGUAACAACACGUGAAAAUACACGCGUAGUGAGAUGAGACAUCAUCACAGUUGUCGGCGAGCUGGGCCGGAGUGGCUCUGCAUGGAGGCCCCAGGGCCCUCUCCCCAGCCAGGGCCACACCCGAGGCACAUGGAGGUUCCCAGGCUAGGGGUUGAAUCACAGCUGUAGCCGCCCGCCUACGCCCCAGCCACAGCAACACCAGAUCCGAGCUGCUGCGUCUGCGACCUACACCACAGCUUGCGGCAACACCGCAUCCCCAACCCACUGAGCGAGGCCAGGGAUCAAACCUGCAUCCUCAUGGAUCCUAGUGGUGUUCGUUAACCACCGAGCCACGAAGGGAACUCUGGCCCCCCUAGUUUUGCUCACACCUGGGCUCUGGGCCCCUGACUCUCUGUCCAGUGUCACCCCCACUGACUCGUCGUGAGACCCUCAUGGGGCAGCUUCUCUGAGCCGCAGACCAGGAGUCCCUGCUCCACAUCCGUCAGCUCUGCCGUCACCCCAACCUUCUUUCGAGGCCUCCUUUACCCCCAAGGACCGCCCAGCCUGCCCCGGGACCUGCACCAGGACACCCCGUCAGAGGCCAGCCUCAGGCCCUGGAUAGAAAGCGGCUGCCCGGCCCAAGGGAAGGUCCGGGACUCCUGGGGGCGCAUAGGGCCCCAGCCCAGUGCGGUCCGAGCUGUGGGGCCAGGCGAUUCCAGGUGGAUGCUGCGCCCGGUCUCCCUCAGGCCCCAAGGCGGCCACAGGGGGAAGCCCCAGGGCCCUCCUCGGCACGGUGUGUGGCCAGGUCUAGACCACUGCAGCCAGUGACCCUGCUCCAGCAGGCGCUGAGGUGGCUGACGACAGAGUUGGACCUUAGGGGGUGGGCUUCAGGUUGGAGAAACCCCUCCCAGGAACGCAGGCCUAAGGGACACAGACGGCCACGGCCACCACCCGGAGCAGCCCCCACCCCUCCCACUCCCCCCUCCAGUAACACCCAGAGUGUGGCCAGGCCUGUGAAGGUCCUGCAGGAUGGGUCCUCCAGGAGAGCCUGUCUGCUCACUCAGAUGAGGAGGCCAGGGCUCGGACCCGGGCUGGGCCUUCCUUCAGUCCUGGGCCGUUAGCCUCUCACGGCUCUGCUUGUGUCCAGGGCUGCAGUUGCAGGCAGGGUCGGUGGCUGAAUUCAGGCCCUGUUCCCAUAGGCUCAGCACAGGGUGUGGCCUGAGGCCUGCCCAGGGGACAGGGAGGCCAUCACAGCCAGGCUUGUGCGCACCAGGGGACCGUCCAGUGACUUCAUGGUGGCAACCCGGGCUGGCUGCGGUGGGAGCGCUCAUACCACAGGUGCCCGCAGCACCGUCAGGCAUCCUCUCUUUUCUUAGCAGUAAUUUAUCAGCACAUCUGUGCGGGUAGCAGCCCCCGAGGCCCUGGGGCUGGGCUGGCCUCUCUGGAUCCCGUCCCUGUCACACACACCCCCCCCCCCCGCCACCCAGGUACUGUGCUGGUGCUUCGGCAGCCAUUGAGGAAGGCGGGAAGGCUGCGUCUCUAGAAGCUUCUACUCCUGGACACGACUGGCUGAGUGCCAUGCGUAUAAUCGGAAUGGCGGAGCUGGAGAGACGGGGGACCAUUAGCGUGUGGCCCGGCCAGCCUUAGGCUGAAUGACCCAGUGCCCCCAGGAUGCGCCACAGGAGCACUGGAGGGCUGCACUCUGAGCAGUGGGCACCGCAGGCGGGAAGGACGGAGGUCCUGAGCCGGGGGACGUGGGGGCUGCAAGGUGGGAAACGGCAGCAGAAGAGGGGGGGCACGGCAGGAGUGGGGCGACCCGUGUUCCGUCAUGCUUCCUGGGACCAGGCUGCGACCCACUCUGCCCCUCGAAGGUGGGGCCCACCUGGAAGGUCUGAGUCCCACAGCCGUGCUGCAGGUGCAGGUGGUGUGGCCCAGACAGGUGAGACCUUGGACCACCCCCACCACGACAGACGCCCUGGGCACGUCAAGGAGAGGCUGGAAAAACCGAGACUCCCCCCUGGAGGAGCAGCAGAAAAAUAAAGCUGAUAGAAAUGCCCCCCCCC